CUAUGCCGAUGAGUCCCAAAUAGGACGAAAUGCGCGUCCUCUAU
This 44-nucleotide non-coding RNA is filed under the name Schistosoma margrebowiei. Lineage: Eukaryota; Metazoa; Platyhelminthes; Trematoda; Strigeidida; Schistosomatidae. The record is from RNAcentral.